GCGCGAAAACUUUACAAUGCUGGCAACAGCGAUAAGGGAACCUCGAGUGCCAGGUUACAAAUCUGGCUGUCGAGAUGCCUAAAAAGCAUUUCAUAGCAAGGGCCGGGCAAGACCGGUGCCAGCCGCCGCGGUAACACCGGCGGCUCGAGUGGUAACCGUUAUUAUUGGGUCUAAAGGGUCUGUAGCCGGCCGGAUAAGUCUCUUGAGAAAUCUGGCAGCUUAACUGUCAGGCUUUCAGGAGAUACUGUCUGGCUCGAGGCCGGGAGAGGUGAGAGGUACUUCAGGGGUAGGGGUGAAAUCUUGUAAUCCUUGAAGGACCACCAGUGGCGAAGGCGUCUCACCAGAACGGACCUGACGGCAAGGGACGAAAGCUAGGGGCACGAACCGGAUUAGAUACCCGGGUAGUCCUAGCCGUAAACGAUACUCGCUAGGUGUCGGCCACGGUGCGACCGUUGUCGGUGCCGUAGGGAAGCCGUGAAGCGAGC
RNAcentral lists this ribosomal RNA (485 nucleotides) under uncultured archaeon. RNAcentral's name for it is "bacterial SSU rRNA". It matches the Rfam family "Archaeal small subunit ribosomal RNA", at positions 339 to 824 of the family's 1478-position model. The record is from RNAcentral.